RNAcentral lists this ribosomal RNA (600 nucleotides) under uncultured bacterium. RNAcentral's name for it is "bacterial SSU rRNA". It matches the Rfam family "Bacterial small subunit ribosomal RNA", at positions 85 to 681 of the family's 1533-position model. The record is from RNAcentral.
CCAUGAUUCAGCGGCGGACGGGUGAGUAAUGCCUAGGAAUCUGCCUAUUAGUGGGGGACAACGUUUCGAAAGGAACGCUAAUACCGCAUACGUCCUACGGGAGAAAGCAGGGGACCUUCGGGCCUUGCGCUAAUAGAUGAGCCUAGGUCGGAUUAGCUAGUUGGUGAGGUAAUGGCUCACCAAGGCGACGAUCCGUAACUGGUCUGAGAGGAUGAUCAGUCACACUGGAACUGAGACACGGUCCAGACUCCUACGGGAGGCAGCAGUGGGGAAUAUUGGACAAUGGGCGAAAGCCUGAUCCAGCCAUGCCGCGUGUGUGAAGAAGGUCUUCGGAUUGUAAAGCACUUUAAGUUGGGAGGAAGGGCAUUAACCUAAUACGUUAGUGUUUUGACGUUACCGACAGAAUAAGCACCGGCUAACUUCGUGCCAGCAGCCGCGGUAAUACGAAGGGUGCAAGCGUUAAUCGGAAUUACUGGGCGUAAAGCGCGCGUAGGUGGUUUGUUAAGUUGGAUGUGAAAGCCCCGGGCUCAACCUGGGAACUGCAUCCAAAACUGGCAAGCUAGAGUAUGGCAGAGGGUGGUGGAAUUUCCUGUGUAGCGG